This 373-nucleotide ribosomal RNA is filed under the name uncultured organism. RNAcentral's name for it is "bacterial SSU rRNA". It matches the Rfam family "Bacterial small subunit ribosomal RNA", at positions 526 to 897 of the family's 1533-position model. The record is from RNAcentral.
CGUAGGGUCCAAGCGUUAUCCGGAAUCACUGGGCGUAAAGCGUGCGUAGGUGGGAAUUUAAGUGUGAUGUUAAAUCGUGUGGCUCAACCAUAUCGAUGCAUCGCAUACUGGGUUCCUAGAGGACGGCAGAGGCAAGUGGAAUUAGCAGUGUAGCAGUGAAAUGCGUAGAUAUUGCUAGGAACACCAAUGGCGAAGGCGGCUUGCUGGGCCACUCCUGACACUGAGGUACGAAAGCGUGGGGAGCGAACAGGAUUAGAUACCCUGGUAGUCCACGCCGUAAACGAUGCAUACUAGACGUAUGGGGUAUCGACCCCCUGUGCGUCGAAGCUAACGCGAUAAGUAUGCCGCCUGGGAAGUACGGCCGCAAGGACUA